Molecule: long non-coding RNA, 628 nt
Organism: Pantherophis guttatus
Lineage: Eukaryota; Metazoa; Chordata; Lepidosauria; Squamata; Colubridae
Source: RefSeq, a predicted model, not a curated record
UUCCGCCCUGAGUGAAAGCGACUUCCGUUCUGCGGCAGAGUCGCUUCCGCCUGCGUGCCGGGUGGUUGCUGCUUUUUAAUCCUGUUUGUAGAGGCGGUUGCCCUGCCCGUUUUAGUGAUGGCAGAAAGGGGAAGAGCACUCUUUCCAGAGUCUCAAUAUCUUUUUUAUUAAUAUGGUGAACAAAACUGGAUGCAGCAUUCCAGAAAGAAGACGUUUCACAGAAGCUCGGAGGUAGUCACUUUGAAGUGUCUCCAUUUUUCAAAACGAAGGAGAAUUUGGGAAUUUUACAGUCAAUUUCAUCAGAUGCAUUGAAGAGGAAUGGCGACAGUGAAUAAUGUAUAGAAUCUAUAGUAUUCUAGAUUGAGUUGUGCCUUCAUUCCAGAAAUCCAGUUGAUACCUGGUUUACUCACAGAACUUUGGGAAUUUUAGUGAAAUCACUUUUUUUAAAAAAAUCACAUGCAAACAAAGAACGAAGCAAAUCCACAAAAGCAUAAAGUGCUACUACAUCAAAAAGCUGAUCCUACAGUUAAAUUCAUAUUUAUUCUCAGCCCUUUAAGAUAAUCCCCUCGAGGUAUUGUACAACGGUGUAGUCUAGAAAUAGAAAUGCAAUAAAAAUUAUUUGAAAACA